This 334-nucleotide non-coding RNA is filed under the name Streptomyces afghaniensis 772. Its description in RNAcentral is "Bacterial large subunit ribosomal RNA". It matches the Rfam family "Bacterial large subunit ribosomal RNA", at positions 1734 to 2061 of the family's 2925-position model. Lineage: Bacteria; Bacillati; Actinomycetota; Actinomycetes; Kitasatosporales; Streptomycetaceae. The record is from Rfam by way of RNAcentral.
CAUCUGGUGAUGAGCUUUGCGCUCUGAGCUGGGGGUGGCCGCAGAGACCAGCGAGAAGCGACUGUUUACUAAAAACACAGGUCCGUGCGAAGCCGUAAGGCGAUGUAUACGGACUGACGCCUGCCCGGUGCUGGAACGUUAAGGGGACCGGUUAGCUCCAUUUCGGUGGGGCGAAGCUGAGAACUUAAGCGCCAGUAAACGGCGGUGGUAACUAUAACCAUCCUAAGGUAGCGAAAUUCCUUGUCGGGUAAGUUCCGACCUGCACGAAUGGCGUAACGACUUCUCGACUGUCUCAACCAUAGGCCCGGUAGAAAUUGCACUACGAGUAAAGAUG